CAACAGCUGAAAGGAGGUGACCCAGUGUCUCAUUGUCCUCAUCCGAGUGUGGAAGCCGCGACCCGGGUCGCCGCUUACGAGGUCUCCAAGUAAGCGCCGAGUUGCGGGCCGCACUGCGGUCCGACAAUGGAAGGGCCGGUUCUCGCAAGAGAGCCGGCCC
This is a small RNA of Phenylobacterium sp. Root1277, 160 nucleotides long. It matches the Rfam family "caulobacter sRNA CC2171". NCBI's taxonomy places the organism in Bacteria, Pseudomonadati, Pseudomonadota, Alphaproteobacteria, Caulobacterales, Caulobacteraceae. The record is from Rfam.